GGGGAUUUGGCUCAGUGGUAGAGCGCUUGCCUAGCAAGCACAAGGUCCUGGGUUCGGUCCCAAGCUCCG
This 69-nucleotide transfer RNA is filed under the name Rattus norvegicus (Norway rat). It matches the Rfam family "tRNA". Rfam says of the family: Transfer RNA (tRNA) molecules are approximately 80 nucleotides in length. The record is from Rfam by way of RNAcentral. Lineage: Eukaryota; Metazoa; Chordata; Mammalia; Rodentia; Muridae.